UACUCGAGUGGCGAACGGGUGAGUAACACGUGGGUGAUCUGCCCUGCACUUCGGGAUAAGCUUGGGAAACUGGGUCUAAUACCGGAUAGGAGCCAUCUUUAGUGUGGUGGUUGGAAAGUUUUUUCGGUGUAGGAUGAGCUCGCGGCCUAUCAGCUUGUUGGUGGGGUAAUGGCCUACCAAGGCGGCGACGGGUAGCCGGCCUGAGAGGGUGUACGGCCACAUUGGGACUGAGAUACGGCCCAG
RNAcentral lists this ribosomal RNA (243 nucleotides) under uncultured bacterium. RNAcentral describes it as "partial 16S ribosomal RNA". It matches the Rfam family "Bacterial small subunit ribosomal RNA", at positions 88 to 334 of the family's 1533-position model. RNAcentral also lists the same sequence under 1 other name. The record is from RNAcentral.